This 586-nucleotide ribosomal RNA is filed under the name uncultured bacterium. Its description in RNAcentral is "bacterial SSU rRNA". It matches the Rfam family "Bacterial small subunit ribosomal RNA", at positions 75 to 658 of the family's 1533-position model. The record is from RNAcentral.
CUUGCUCUCUGGGUGACGAGCGGCGGACGGGUGAGUAAUGUCUGGGAAACUGCCUGAUGGAGGGGGAUAACUACUGGAAACGGUAGCUAAUACCGCAUAACGUCUUCGGACCAAAGUGGGGGACCUUCGGGCCUCACGCCAUCAGAUGUGCCCAGAUGGGAUUAGCUAGUAGGUGGGGUAAUGGCUCACCUAGGCGACGAUCCCUAGCUGGUCUGAGAGGAUGACCAGCCACACUGGAACUGAGACACGGUCCAGACUCCUACGGGAGGCAGCAGUGGGGAAUAUUGCACAAUGGGCGCAAGCCUGAUGCAGCCAUGCCGCGUGUGUGAAGAAGGCCUUCGGGUUGUAAAGCACUUUCAGCGAGGAGGAAGGGUGGUGUGUUAAUAGCGCAUCACAUUGACGUUACUCGCAGAAGAAGCACCGGCUAACUCCGUGCCAGCAGCCGCGGUAAUACGGAGGGUGCAAGCGUUAAUCGGAAUUACUGGGCGUAAAGCGCACGCAGGCGGUUUGUUAAGUCAGAUGUGAAAUCCCCGCGCUUAACGUGGGAACUGCAUUUGAAACUGGCAAGCUAGAGUCUUGUAGAGGG